CGUGAGCUUCAGUCAGUUCAAGGUUAGGUGUUUGGUGUGCACAACCUGAUCUUUUUAACUGUCUCUGUUGUUCACAGGGUCAAGCUGUACAGACCAGAUUCACCAGUGCCCAGCUGUAUGUCUUUGAAGAGUGACUUUUCAAUGGAUCAACCAUUACACUUCAAAGGUGGAGACUUCAAUCCUCACCCCAGGGUCAAGCUGUACAGACCAGAUUCACCAGUGCCCAGCUGUAUGUCUAUGAAGAGUGACUUUUCAAUGGAUCAACCAUUACACUUCAAAGUUGGAGACUUCAAUCCUCACCCCAGGUGAGGUCACUGAUUUCCAUUGCAGAAGCUAUC
RNAcentral lists this long non-coding RNA (338 nucleotides) under Lepisosteus oculatus (spotted gar). Its description in RNAcentral is "lncRNA (ENSLOCG00000021494.1)". Lineage: Eukaryota; Metazoa; Chordata; Actinopteri; Semionotiformes; Lepisosteidae. The record is from RNAcentral.